This 621-nucleotide ribosomal RNA is filed under the name Serrognathus reichei clypeatus. RNAcentral describes it as "eukaryotic LSU rRNA". It matches the Rfam family "Eukaryotic large subunit ribosomal RNA", at positions 665 to 1244 of the family's 3401-position model. Lineage: Eukaryota; Metazoa; Arthropoda; Insecta; Coleoptera; Lucanidae. The record is from RNAcentral.
ACCAAGGAGUCUAGCAUGUGCGCGAGUCAUUGGGACUUAACUAAACCUAAAGGCGAAAUGAAAGUGAAGGUCCGCCUCGCGCGGACCUAGGGAGGAUGGGCCAACCCGAGGGUGGCCCCGCACUCCCGGGGCGUCUCGUUCUCAUCGCGAGAGGAGGCGCACCCAGAGCGUACACGCUGGGACCCGAAAGAUGGUGAACUAUGCCUGGUCAGGACGAAGUCAGGGGAAACCCUGAUGGAGGUCCGUAGCGAUUCUGACGUGCAAAUCGAUCGUCGGAACUGGGUAUAGGGGCGAAAGACUAAUCGAACCAUCUAGUAGCUGGUUCCCUCCGAAGUUUCCCUCAGGAUAGCUGGCGCUCGCCGCGCGCGAGUCUCAUCCGGUAAAGCGAAUGAUUAGAGGCAUUGGGGUCGAAACGGCCUCAACCUAUUCUCAAACUUUAAAUGGGUGAGAUCUCCGGCUUGCUCGAACACGUGAAGCCGCGAGAUUUCGGAUCAGAGUGCCAAGUGGGCCACUUUUGGUAAGCAGAACUGGCGCUGUGGGAUGAACCAAACGCAGAGUUAAAGCGCCCAAAUCGACGCUUAUGGGAUACCAUGAAAGGCGUUGGUAACUUAAGACAGCAGG